GACGAACGCUGGCGGCGUGCCUAAUACAUGCAAGUCGAACGCUGAAGGAGGAGCUUGCUUCUCUGGAUGAGUUGCGAACGGGUGAGUAACGCGUAGGUAACCUGCCUUGUAGCGGGGGAUAACUAUUGGAAACGAUAGCUAAUACCGCAUAAUAGUAGAUGUUGCAUGACAUUUGCUUAAAAGUUGCAAUUGCAUCACUACCAGAUGGACCUGCGUUGUAUUAGCUAGUUGGUGAGGUAACGGCUCACCAAGGCAACGAUACAUAGCCGACCUGAGAGGGGGAUCGGCCACACUGGGACGGAGACCCGGCCCAGACUCCUACGGGAGGGAGCAAGAGGGAAUCGUCGGCAAUGGACGGAAGUCUGACCGAGCAACGCCGAGGGAGUGAAGAAGGAUUUCGGAUCGUAAAGCUCGGUUGUAAGGGAAGAACGAGUGUGAGAGUGGAAAGUUCACACUGUGACGGUAUCUGACCAGAAAGGGACGGCUAACUACGUG
This 495-nucleotide ribosomal RNA is filed under the name uncultured bacterium. RNAcentral describes it as "partial 16S ribosomal RNA". It matches the Rfam family "Bacterial small subunit ribosomal RNA", at positions 28 to 507 of the family's 1533-position model. The record is from RNAcentral.